RNAcentral lists this ribosomal RNA (513 nucleotides) under Salmonella enterica. RNAcentral's name for it is "partial 23S ribosomal RNA". It matches the Rfam family "Bacterial large subunit ribosomal RNA", at positions 711 to 1222 of the family's 2925-position model. RNAcentral also lists the same sequence under 1 other name. Lineage: Bacteria; Pseudomonadati; Pseudomonadota; Gammaproteobacteria; Enterobacterales; Enterobacteriaceae. The record is from RNAcentral.
AGACCCGAAACCCGGUGAUCUAGCCAUGGGCAGGUUGAAGGUUGGGUAACACUAACUGGAGGACCGAACCGACUAAUGUUGAAAAAUUAGCGGAUGACCUGUGGCUGGGGGUGAAAGGCCAAUCAAACCGGGAGAUAGCUGGUUCUCCCCGAAAGCUAUUUAGGUAGCGCCUCGUGAAUUCAUCUCCGGGGGUAGAGCACUGUUUCGGCUAGGGGGCCAUCCCGGCUUACCAACCCGAUGCAAACUGCGAAUACCGGAGAAUGUUAUCACGGGAGACACACGGCGGGUGCUAACGUCCGUCGUGAAGAGGGAAACAACCCAGACCGCCAGCUAAGGUCCCAAAGUCAUGGUUAAGUGGGAAACGAUGUGGGAAGGCCCAGACAGCCAGGAUGUUGGCUUAGAAGCAGCCAUCAUUUAAAGAAAGCGUAAUAGCUCACUGGUCGAGUCGGCCUGCGCGGAAGAUGUAACGGGGCUAAACCAUGCACCGAAGCUGCGGCAGCGACACUAUGUGUU